RNAcentral lists this small RNA (273 nucleotides) under Candidatus Parepulonipiscium sp. PG-Nuni2H_MBin01. Its description in RNAcentral is "Epulopiscium sp. Nuni2H_MBin001 5' ureB small RNA". It matches the Rfam family "5' ureB small RNA". The record is from Rfam by way of RNAcentral. Lineage: Bacteria; Bacillati; Bacillota; Clostridia; Lachnospirales; Lachnospiraceae.
CAGUCUCUAUCUGCUGUGGGCAAAUAAAAUGCACAUGAGUAUCAAUACCGCCUGCAGUAAUAAUCAUACCCUCACCAGCUACAGCUUCAGUACUUGCUCCAACAACCAUAGUUACGCCAUCUUGAAUAUCUGGAUUGCCAGCCUUUCCUAUACCUACGAUAUUGCCAUCUUUAAUGCCUAUAUCCGCUUUAACAAUCCCCCAAUAAUCUAAAAUUAAAGCAUUGGAUUACCAUAUCUAGCGCGCCUUCUAGCGAUGAUAGAGUAGCACUACAG